RNAcentral lists this unclassified non-coding RNA (415 nucleotides) under soil metagenome. RNAcentral's name for it is "partial contains 5.8S ribosomal RNA, internal transcribed spacer 2, and large subunit ribosomal RNA". The stretch from base 1 to 120 matches the Rfam family "5.8S ribosomal RNA", at positions 35 to 154 of the family's 154-position model. The record is from RNAcentral.
GAUGAAGAACGCAGCGAAAUGCGAUAAGUAAUGUGAAUUGCAGAAUUCAGUGAAUCAUCGAAUCUUUGAACGCACCUUGCACUCCUUGGUAUUCCGAGGAGUACGCCUGUUCGAGUGUUAUGAAGCUCUCAAAACGCAAUUGGCUUAAAACCUGAUUGUUGUUUUGGAUUUGAACUUUGCCGUGUUAUAACGGCUGGUUUUAAAAGUAUUAGCUGGUACUAGAACGAAUUGGUUCUACUCAACGUGAUAAUUAUCUGAUCGUUGAGGACAUUCCUUUCACGAGGAAUGGCCAUAGUAAAUUCAAUGGACUGCUUCUAAUCUGGCUUUAAUUCUUUAUUGGAUUAACCACUUUUCAAAUCUGACCUCGAAUCAGGUGGGACUACCCGCUGAACUUAAGCAUAUCAAUAAGCGGAGA